This 492-nucleotide ribosomal RNA is filed under the name uncultured bacterium. RNAcentral's name for it is "partial 16S ribosomal RNA". It matches the Rfam family "Bacterial small subunit ribosomal RNA", at positions 29 to 507 of the family's 1533-position model. The record is from RNAcentral.
AGUGAACGCUGGCGGUAGGCCUAACACAUGCAAGUCGAACGGCAGCACAGUAAGAGCUUGCUCCUACGGGUGGCGAGUGGCGGACGGGUGAGGAAUACAUCGGAAUCUACUUUUUCGUGGGGGAUAACGUAGGGAAACUUACGCUAAUACCGCAUACGACCUACGGGUGAAAGCAGGGGAGCUUCGGACCUUGCGCGAUUGAAUGAGCCGAUGUCGGAUUAGCUAGUUGGCGGGGUAAAGGCCCACCAAGGCGACGAUCCGUAGCUGGUCUGAGAGGAUGAUCAGCCACACUGGAACUGAGACACGGUCCAGACUCCUACGGGAGGCAGCAGUGGGGAAUAUUGGACAAUGGGCGCAAGCCUGAUCCAGCCAUACCGCGUGGGUGAAGAAGGCCUUCGGGUUGUAAAGCCCUUUUGUUGGGAAAGAAAAGCAGCAGGUUAAUACCCCGCUGUUCUGACGGUACCCAGAGAAUAAGCACCGGCUAACUUCGUG